AUUGAACGCUGGCGGCAUGCCUUACACAUGCAAGUCGAACGGCAGCACGGGAGCAAUCCUGGUGGCGAGUGGCGAACGGGUGAGUAAUAUAUCGGAACGUGCCCAGUCGUGGGGGAUAACGUAGCGAAAGCUACGCUAAUACCGCAUACGAUCUAUGGAUGAAAGCGGGGGAUCGCAAGACCUCGCGCGAUUGGAGCGGCCGAUAUCAGAUUAGGUAGUUGGUGAGGUAAAGGCUCACCAAGCCGACGAUCUGUAGUUGGUCUGAGAGGACGACCAGCCACACUGGGACUGAGACACGGCCCAGACUCCUACGGGAGGCAGCAGUGGGGAAUUUUGGACAAUGGGCGCAAGCCUGAUCCAGCAAUGCCGCGUGCAGGAUGAAGGCCUCGG
RNAcentral lists this ribosomal RNA (390 nucleotides) under uncultured bacterium. RNAcentral's name for it is "bacterial SSU rRNA". It matches the Rfam family "Bacterial small subunit ribosomal RNA", at positions 30 to 420 of the family's 1533-position model. The record is from RNAcentral.